CUCUUGAGUGGAUCCUGAGUACGACGGAGCACGUGAAAUUCCGUCGGAAUCUAGGAGGACCAUCUCCUAAGGCUAAAUACUCUCUAGUGACCGAUAGUGAACCAGUACCGUGAGGGAAAGGUGAAAAGAACCCCGGAAGGGGAGUGAAAGAGAACUUGAAACCGUGUGCUUACAAGUAGUCAGAGCCCGUUUAUGGGUGAUGGCGUGCCUUUUGUAGAAUGAACCGGCGAGUUACGAUCUGAUGCAAGGUUAAGCAG
RNAcentral lists this ribosomal RNA (257 nucleotides) under Staphylococcus sp. SKL70935. RNAcentral's name for it is "partial 23S ribosomal RNA". It matches the Rfam family "Bacterial large subunit ribosomal RNA", at positions 394 to 653 of the family's 2925-position model. The record is from RNAcentral. Lineage: Bacteria; Bacillati; Bacillota; Bacilli; Caryophanales; Staphylococcaceae.